GCACCAGACUCCUACGGGAGGCAGCAGUGGGGAAUAUUGGGCAAUGGAGGCAACUCUUACCCAGCAAUGCCGCGUGAAUGAAGAAGGUCUUCGGAUUGUAAAGUUCUUUAAUUGGGGACGAAAAAAAUGACGGUACCCAAGGAAUAAGCCCCGGCUAACUCCGUGCCAGCAGCCGCGGUAAUACGGAGGAUGCGAGCGUUAUCCGGAUUUAUUGGGUUUAAAGGGUGCGCAGGCGGAUUUUUAAGUCGGCGGUCAAAUCGUGGGGCUCAACCCCAUCCAGCCGUUGAAACUGGGGAUCUAGAGUGUGCGAGAGGUAUGCGGAAUGCGUGGUGUAGCGGUGAAAUGCAUAGAUAUCACGCAGAACCCCGAUUGCGAAGGCAGCAUACCGGUGCACAACUGACGCUCAGGCACGAAAGCGUGGGUAUCGAACAGGAUUAGAUACCCUAGUAGCA
RNAcentral lists this ribosomal RNA (452 nucleotides) under uncultured bacterium. Its description in RNAcentral is "partial 16S ribosomal RNA". It matches the Rfam family "Bacterial small subunit ribosomal RNA", at positions 328 to 795 of the family's 1533-position model. The record is from RNAcentral.